Molecule: ribosomal RNA, 253 nt
Filed under: uncultured bacterium
Lineage: Bacteria
Description: partial 16S ribosomal RNA
Rfam family: Bacterial small subunit ribosomal RNA
Source: RNAcentral
UACGAAAGGGGCUAGCGUUGCUCGGAAUCACUGGGCGUAAAGCGCACGUAGGCGGCUUCUUAAGUCAGGGGUGAAAUCCUGGAGCUCAACUCCAGAACUGCCUUUGAUACUGAGGAGCUUGAGUCCGGGAGAGGUGAGUGGAACUGCGAGUGUAGAGGUGAAAUUCGUAGAUAUUCGCAAGAACACCAGUGGCGAAGGCGGCUCACUGGCCCGGUACUGACGCUGAGGUGCGAAAGCGUGGGGAGCAAACAGG